Molecule: long non-coding RNA, 1447 nt
Filed under: Gallus gallus (chicken)
Lineage: Eukaryota; Metazoa; Chordata; Aves; Galliformes; Phasianidae
Description: long non-coding RNA NONGGAT005425
Source: RNAcentral
CUUGUUUUUACGCACUGCCCCUUUGCAAAAUGCUUCUUACCUACGUUAUGGGUUGCUACCUUAUCCUGUGGCUGCGUUCAUGGUCCAUCUGAGCAAGGGUUUUACUCGGGGUAACUCCCUGCCUUUGCAUUGCUCUGCCAGGAUGGGGCAGAGUUUGCAACACUGCAUUGGCCAGGCUGCCCCUCUGGGUUCUCAGCCCAACUGCUCCCUCUGAAAAUCAGCAGAGAAGUAACCCAAAGGGAGUGCUGCUGUGGAGCAGCAAAGACUGAUGUGCAGUUAUAUUGCCUGCACAAACUGGGACCCUUUGGAGGAUAACACAGGGCUCCAUCCCCCACUGGGAUCUCUACCCGAAGUAACUUGCCUAACUUGUGUACCAACAAGGAGCAAGGCUGGAGCAGCGCUGAUCCUCUGCCUUCAGCAGUGCUCCUCUGCGCGCAGGGCUCGGCGCAGGCAGUCCUCCCGAGGCGGCUGCAGGCUGCAGGCAGCUCCCAUCUUGGACGACCUCAUUUUAACCUCCCUGUUUCGAGGCAGCAGUGGCAUUAUAUAACCCAGAUUUCGGCGGGUCUGCGAGGGAGGCUGCGCAGAAACAGACGUGUGCUCACACGGGUCAGGGCGUAACGGGGCUCCUUCCACUGGUGCCCUCGCCCACGUCUCACCCAGAGCUGCCAAGGAAAGCUCCCACUCCAGAGCUGCAGCUGUGGAUCUCUGGACUCACAGUGCAGAACACAUUUGUGGCAGCUCUGGGGAGGGCAGUGCUAAGGAUAGAAUGGCUCUCAGCAGCUGAAAGUGAACCCGUGGGAGCCUGGUGCUCCUGUAGGCGGACCUAUGGAGGGAGUCCCUGUGGGACUCAGGGCUCAGCCAUUCCUGGCUCAUGGCUGUGUGCCUCCAAUAGCCUUAUUUUUCACUGUCACAUCCAGUCUGCUUUCCCAAGUCCCCCUGGAGCACCUCCCUCUUUUCACCCAAGGCUUAUUGAUGGUAGGAAUGGGGCACAGCUAGUGCCAGAAGACACUUUUCUGCAGAAGCUCCCAUUUUGCAACUCCUUCACUUCCUUAUGAGAACCAUGGACCUUCUACCUUGCCACAGAUUCACCUGUAGGGGCUGUAGGAAAACAAUCAAAGCAGAGCAAGGAGGUUAAUGCAGAUGCUUUAAUGCUGUGACUUACAGACACCGCCCCCCCCACCCGCCCCCUGAGGCAUGCAGAAUUUCCUUGUGUCCUGGCACUGGGAGGCAGAAUUACCAAUGCAUGCUGAUGUCCCAUUCAGCAUUCCUCACCUAAGCACAGUUUUCCUGUGCUUUGCUGGCCUUGGCCACCAGUCCUUCAGAGUUAAUGGCCUGGCACUGGGCACCUGUUGAGUCCUCUGGGCAGUGCUGCUCAUGUGUAGGUAAUUCUCAAUUGCUCAUUUACAUCAGCUCCUCCUUUUCUAUGCAAUUGUCUCAAGAGAUGGAA